Molecule: non-coding RNA, 864 nt
Organism: Doryrhamphus excisus (bluestripe pipefish)
Lineage: Eukaryota; Metazoa; Chordata; Actinopteri; Syngnathiformes; Syngnathidae
Source: RefSeq, a predicted model, not a curated record
GCCAUUCCUGUGAUUGCUAACGAUAUCAGGCUGUGAAAGCACCUUAAUGGUCUGACUGGUCACUCUGCUGGCAGAGGGCUGUGACACAGGAGAGCCCAUCCACCUGUACCCGCAAUCUUGUCCUUUUGGUCACGACCCAAAGCUCAUGAAUGGGUGAGAGUGGGAACGUAGAUCAACCAGUACAUUGACACAAACCGGGGUGCACCCACUGGGAGAAAAUGCAACCUCCUCACACAGCUGCCCAAGGGGCGAUUCGAAUCAGAUCUUCCCAAUUUUGGUUGUGUCCUUGCUGAUCCGUACAAAGCACUCCCACCACUGCUGGAUUCUUCAUGCUGCACACAAGGCAGGAAAAACGGCGUUCAAUGUGUAAAGACGAACGAAGACAAAGCACAGACUGACAAUGACUUACGUGUCAUCAAGGUGUUGCUCUAAGGUCGACUCCAUUCGAAAUCAACUGAAAACGCCAAAUAGUUCAGCUUAUUUUUGGAAGCUAUGCUGUUCUCGAAGAGAUUUCCGGCUUUAGUCAGCUGCCUGUGACGUAACUACGAGAACACUCGAGGGUCAAAACACACCAAACUGGAGUUUUUUUUAUUGCGACAGUAUUUUUAUUUCACAGCUAUUAAAUGUGUGCAUUCUUGAAUGUCAUUUAGUGCAUCAAUCGUGCAUUUAUUAGUUUUUUCAUUUUUAAACAUGCAGCGUUCAAAUUCGUUUUGCUACUUCUGUAUCGACACCUGUCAAUUAUCAAUUAUUUAUAAUCAUUGUGCAAAACAUCCAAAUAAUACGAUAGCUGGAGCAUGGAAGCCCUUUUCGCCACUGGAUAAAGUUAUCCUAUUGGUAAGUCAUAAUCAUAUGAUAAAAAAAUCG